CCUACGGGGGGCAGCAGUGGGGAAUAUUGGGCAAUGGGCGCAAGCCUGACCCAGCAACGCCGCGUGAAGGAAGAAGGCUUUCGGGUUGUAAACUUCUUUUGUCAGGGACGAAGCAAGUGACGGUACCUGACGAAUAAGCCACGGCUAACUACGUGCCAGCAGCCGCGGUAAUACGUAGGUGGCAAGCGUUAUCCGGAUUUACUGGGUGUAAAGGGCGUGUGGGCGGGGAAGCAAGUCAGAUGUGAAAACCACGGGCUCAACCUGUGGCCUGCAUUUGAAACUGUUUUUCUUGAGUACUGGAGAGGCAGACGGAAUUCCGAGUGUAGCGGUGAAAUGCGUAGAUAUUAGGAGGAACACCAGUGGCGAAGGCGGUCUGCUGGACAGCAACUGACGCUGAGGCGCGAAAGCGUGGGGAGCAAACAGGAUUAGAUACCCCAGUAGUC
Molecule: ribosomal RNA, 443 nt
Filed under: uncultured bacterium
Lineage: Bacteria
Description: partial 16S ribosomal RNA
Rfam family: Bacterial small subunit ribosomal RNA
Source: RNAcentral